Molecule: long non-coding RNA, 1863 nt
Organism: Felis catus (domestic cat)
Lineage: Eukaryota; Metazoa; Chordata; Mammalia; Carnivora; Felidae
Exons: 3
Source: RefSeq, a predicted model, not a curated record
UUCUCUUUCUGCCCCUCCUCUCUCUCUCUCUCUCUCUCUCUCUCUCUCUCUCUCUCUCUCUCUCUCAAGAACAAAUAAACAUUGAAAAAGAAAAAGAGAAAGAACGACUGAUCUAGUGGAACCAGUUUACCUGCAUUUCCUUGGACUUCCAUCCCUGGACUGACCCAGGCUGGGAAGCCACAAUGAGGACGGGGCUGGCAGAAAAAACACAGCCCCCACAGGCCGAGGAGACAAACCUCAGACAGAAUCCUGCUGCCACAUCAGCUCCUGGACAGAUGCGCCGCCCUAGCUGCUCUUUAGCCCUGGAGGCGAAAGCAUCCACGGCCCACCAGCAGGAAGGAACGAGGGUCGGCUAGAAAGUGACCUGUCUGGAUCGCCCACCCCAGGCUGCCCACGCUCGCACUCUGCCCCUGGGGAGGAAGGAGAAGCCUCCAGCAUAAGGCUGCCAGGUGGAGGGCCCAGCUGUGGGAGGGGUGCCCCAGGUACCAGCCAGAAACACUUCCCAGGGAAGAUAGACACCAAACAUCAUGAACACACACACACACACACACACACACACACACACACACGUGCGUACACACAUGGAAAGAUUCAAUUGUUUACAAACUGUGUGACCAGUUGUUUCAAAUUGCUCAUCCUAAGCACCACCAAAGGCUCUUCUGCACAGGGGAGGGAUGAGACCAAAGGAAAAACCCAGCACUGGCCUUGCCCAGACCGUUUGGGGACAAGGACCCCGCCAGGCAGGCGUUGGCAGAGCCCCUGGCAAGGCCGUUGCCUGCAGAGAAGGGCCCCGAUGCAACUGGCGCGAGGCUCUGCAGACUGUGGGCCUCUGACCUGCGCGCACCAGCCCCGCCCCCAGGCCACCUGUGCAAAGUCAAGGAGCCUGCGGACCAUCAGUACCCAGGCCCAGGAGAGGGGGAGGAGGGAGGGUGGGCCGGUGGGAGGGGAGAGCCCCAGGAGGCCCCGACAAGCUGCCCCUCUCGUCUUCACCCAGGCAGGCGAGUGUGAGAGCAGACCCCAGGAUGUCUGAAGCUCCUUCAAUGCCAAUUACUGCAGAAAUAAUUCAGCGUGCUCACCCCCCGCCUCUCAGCACACACUCUUUGGGGACGUUUUAAGUCUGACUGUACCUGCUGAGCAGCUGACAAAUGAAGCCUCUCGCUCGCUCUGCCUCCCUCCUUCCCGACUGCCGUCCCUCCACCCCUCUGCCCAGGCUCAUCGAUGGUGGGGAAACGGAGGGCUGGGUGUUCUCAUCCUGCACCCCUCCUCCCCGUGCAGGGCCUGCUCAGACCGGUGCCCUGUGCCCGCUGCCUGGGCUCUGCUUCCAGAUGAGGGGUGGCAGGGCUGGGUUCCCUGGAGUCCGUCCACCCCACAGGUCCUUACAGGCAGGAGCUGUGGCUUAUUCAGCUUUGGUUAGCUGUCAGGAAAUAUUGUCGGAUUGCUGGAUGGGUAGCCGGGCAGGUGGAUGAGUGGGCAGACGGGGUGGAGGGAGGGAGGGAUGGAGAGAGGAAUGGAACAGAUCCCAAACGUGGCCUUUCCCAAUGCUUAGGGCUUUCCAAGUCUAAACAGAUGACUCAACACAGUUCCCUGUGAGGCACAGCUGCUAUUAUCUGAACGGUCGGCCCCACAAUUCCUCUUGGGAAAAAACUGUUUCGGUUCCGGAAAAUACUUUUAAAGGAUGACUGCGGAUGAUCCCAAGAAUACACUCCACCAGGGGACCAAGGCCACAAAAGAGAACUGGCUGAGUUCCCAGGGUUGAAGUUGCCUUGAAGUCUGACUGCUGAAGGAGAAAGGGAGUUUCUGUCCAUUUUGUUGUUAACUCAAUCCAGAGUCUGAGCUGGUGGCAUAAAGAUUUCAAACAUCCUG